AGCCUUUAGAAUAAAUUAAAGGUCAAACCUGCCCAGUGAUAUUAUUAAAUGGCCGCGGUACUCUGACCGUGCUAAGGUAGCAUAAUCACUUGGCCUUUAAAUGGGGUCUGGAAUGAAAGGAAUCACGGGGCAAAGCUGUCUCAUUUUUUAAUAAAUUAACUUACUAAUUAGGUGAAAAGGCCUAAAAAUGAAAAAAGACGAGAAGACCCUUGGAGUUAAAAUUUAAUUGGGGCGAUUAGGGAAAAACAUCCCUGCAUUUAUAUGACGGAAUCAUGUACAGAUAAACUACCCAAGGGAUAACAGCAUAAUUUUUUCAAGUUUGUGACCUCGAUGUUGGACUAGGAAUUUUUUAGGUUAGCCGCCUAAAAAAAGGAUUCUGUUCGAAUUUUUUACUCCU
Molecule: ribosomal RNA, 397 nt
Filed under: Gastropteron minutum
Lineage: Eukaryota; Metazoa; Mollusca; Gastropoda; Cephalaspidea; Gastropteridae
Description: partial 16S ribosomal RNA
Rfam family: Archaeal large subunit ribosomal RNA
Source: RNAcentral